Diorhabda carinulata is the source of this 11034-nucleotide RNA transcript. It is a transcript of the gene named kalirin, with no coding region annotated. NCBI's taxonomy places the organism in Eukaryota, Metazoa, Arthropoda, Insecta, Coleoptera, Chrysomelidae. The record is from RefSeq and is a predicted model, not a curated record. The transcript has 36 exons.
UGGUAUGUCAAAGAUCUAAGCGAAACGUCAGUAAUUCAUUAGCAGAAGCCAAGAUGGGGACUGAGUUGUGUAGAGUUGUAGUUGGAUGUUUUUGUAUAGUGAAUUAUUCUCCAUAAAAAUGUAUAUGUGUCUAAAAUUGUGACAAUAACGUUUGUGAAUAAUUUUAAUGGAAUUUUUAAACCAUUCUUGAACUUUGAGUUUAACUAUGGACGGACAAAGGGCGUUAGAGUUAAUGCCUCUCCUUCAAGAACGUUUAGUGAUAUUAACAGGAGGACGCGACCGACGUGGUGGACCAGUUUUGUCGUUUCCGGCAAAUCCUCGAAGGGAACGUGCCAAACCUGAAGAUUAUCGGAAAGUUCUACAAUACUUGAUGUCCAUACCAAGCGAGGAAGCUCGAGGUCUGGGUUUUACAGUACUGGUAGAUAUGAGAGGUUCCACGUGGUCUACUGUCAAACCUAUAUUGAAGGCACUGCAUGAAAACUUUCCGCCCGGCACAAUCCAUCAAGCGCUCAUAGUCAAACCUGACAACUUUUGGCAGAAGCAAAGGACAUCGCUUGGAUCGCAUAAAUACAAGUUUGAGACCAACAUGAUAAGUAUCGAAGCUUUGCCGAAAAUAAUUGACAGUAGCCAACUGACAUCAGACUUAGAAGGUGCUUUAUCUUAUGAUCAUGCUCAUUGGCUUGAAGUUAGAUUGGCUAUUGAAGAAUUUGCAUGGCAAGCCGCCGACCUAUUGGAUAGAUUAGAUGACUUACAGGAAGACUUGGCGAGAAAUGAUUUUGCUGAUGAUGUGAGCGGGGCAAAGCAUAAAAUUGAUCUGCACAAUGAAAUGAAAAAGAAGAUUAUGAAAGCACCGGUUGAUGAUAUUGAUUUAUUAGGUCAGCGUUUGUUACAAAAGUCUUGUGGUCUCGACACGGGUCAAGGCGGAGGAGGGGGAGGCGGCGGAGGGGUAGGCGGAGUAAGAGAACCAGAAUCUCCUAACAAUACGAAUUCUGAUCUGUUAGGUACCAAAAACUUAGUUUUACAAAAUUUAGAGGCAGUUCACUCUUCACAACAGCACCUCCUUCAACUGUGGCACCACAAAAAGCUCAAAUUGGACCAGUGCUUUCAGUUGCGGUUAUUUGAACAGGAUUGUGAAAAAAUGUUUGAGUGGAUCUGCCACAACAAAGACGUCUUCCUUCUUAAUUACGUAGAAAUAGGCCACACUUACCAGCUAGCGAAGCAACUUCAAGAAGAACAUCAACAUUUUACAAUGAGUUCAAUGAACGUUUACGUGAAUAUUAAUCGUAUACUUUCGGUCGCGUCGCGUCUUAUCGAAGGCGGUCAUUAUGCCGCGUCGCAUAUACGCUCGGUUGCCGGACGGUUAGAUCGUACGUGGAAAGAUUUUGCAGCUGGAUUAGAUGAAAGAACUGCGGUGUUGGCAUUGUCUGUGAUUUUUCACCAUAAGGCGGAACAAUAUGUGGAGAAUGUGCCUUCAUGGAAAUCUGCAUCAGAAACAGGGAAUAUCCCUUCAGAGAUUAUGAUGUUGGAAAAUUCGAUACACCAACAUCAAAACUUAUACGAAUCUAUGUGUCAAGCAUAUACAGAGGUUCAUAGUACCAGUAAGAAACUACUUUAUCAGUUGGACCACUUAGUUCAGGUCUGCAAUCAACCUGGGAAGGAUAAAAAACAUGGCGAAGGAACAAAUUUUGAAAACAGACCAGGUGGUAAUCCUGCUGCCGAUUAUAGCGAAGGAGCUAGUCACGUUUUAGCAGUAAUACAUCAAAUUUUAAAUCACCAUAGAGCACUCGAGCAAAAAUGGCACGCUAAAAAGAUCAAACUUCAUCAAAGGCUGGCAUUGAGAUUAUUUCAAGAAGAUGUUAAACAGGUAUUGGAUUGGUUAGCAAAUCAUGGGGAAGUAUUUAUUAGGAAAAAUACCGGCAUUGGGCGGAAUCUUCAGAAAGCUAGAGUUUACCAAAAAAGUCACGAACACUUUGAAAAUGUAGCACAGAAUACUUACACCAAUGCCGAUAAGCUUCUUGCAGCAGCCGAAGAACUAGCCCAUACCGGCGAAUGUGAUCCGGAUGAGAUUUAUUCAGUAGCACACGAACUCGAAGCGCACGUCACCUCAUUUGCAGCUAGGGUAGAACAAAGGAGACGAAGACUCGAUUUAGCCGUAUUAUUCUAUACUCAUGAAAAGGAUUUAAGUAAUUGGGUUGAUGAUCUAAGGCAAGAAUUACAGAAUGAUGAAAGUGUAGCCGAAAGUUUAGAAGCAACAGAAAGACUUCUUGAACAAACUGCACAACAUCGUGAACAAAGCCUCGAUGCUUGCGCUUCGACAAUUGCACAAGGGGAAGCACUUCUCCAAGAACUGAGGUCUAUUGCUGAAAUGGACACAACUGGUUCAGUAGCUGCAAUAGAAUCUGCUCUGGACCGAUUAGCGAAACAAAGAAACGAUCUCGAAGAACUUUGGGCGGCGAGGAAGCUUCGAUUAGAUCUGUGUUUGAGAUUAAGACUUUUUGAAAGAGACGCUCUUGAGGUUUCCUCUCAACUUGAAAUGUGGUCAGAAGAACUUCAACAUAGUGAACUAACCAGAGAUAUACCGAAAGCAGAACAAUUUUUGAGAUUGCACAACGAAAGCGUCAGUCAAAUGCAGAAUACGACCUACCAAGUUCUGCAACAAGGUCAGGAUUUGGUACAGGUGUUUGAAAAUUCUGGAAUAUGUGUUAUGGCUGAUGCUCAGUACAACGCUCAGACUAGGGUUCAAGUUCUACUUGAAUUUCUUCAUGACAGAGAAAUGGAUCUAGAAGAAUUGGCAGAAUUAAAACGUGUUAAGCUUGAACAGUGCAUUCAACUCGGCCAAUUUCAAAAUGAUGCUAACCAAGUGAUCAGCUGGAUAAGGAAUGGAGAAUCUAUGCUAAUGGCCAGUUUUACGAUACCCAAUAGUUUAGGUGAUGCCGAACUUUUGAAAAAAGAACAUGAACAAUUUCAAGUGGCCAUCGAAAAAACACAUACCUCAGCUGUUCAAGUUAAACAUCGAGCAGAUACUUUAAUCAAUGCCAAUCAUUACGAUCCACAAAGUAUCAAAGAUAUUUCUGAAGAAGUUACCAAGAGAUGGCAGCAGUUGGUAACAUGCGCUGAAGAACGACACAAAUUAGUGACGGCCAGUUUAAACUUUUAUAAAACUGCUGAACAAGUUUGCUCUGUUUUGGACAGCUUGGAAAGGGAAUAUAGGAGGGAUGAAGAUUGGUGCGCCACUGGACAAGCAAACAUUGACAAAGCCACCGCCAUAUCCCAACUAAUUAACAAACAUCAAGAACAAAAAGAAGCUUUUUUGAAGGCUUGUACAUUAGCACGAAGAACAGCUGAAACAUUUUUGAAAUAUACAACUAGAAGUUUGCAGUUUUAUAAUUAUCCAAGUAGCAGUGGCAAUCACGAAGCUAGAGUGAAGGGUAUUCUAGAAAAAUUAUUAAAUCAAGAAAAUAAAGUUUUGGAGCAUUGGACUCAAAGGAAAAAGAAGUUGGACCAAUGUCAACAAUUUGUUUUAUUUGAGAGAUCUGCCAAACAAGCUAUUGAAUGGAUUCACGAAACAGGUGAAUGUUACCUAACCACACAUGCAACGAAUCUCGGCAACAAUAUCGAAGAAACUGAAAGUUUAUUACGCGAACACAACGAAUUUAAAGGAACUGCCAAGGAAACUCGGGAAAGAGUCAAGUUACUUAUUCAACUUGCUGAUAGUCUUGUAGAAAAAGGUCACGCUCACGCAUGCUCCAUCAAACAAUGGGUAGAAGCUGUUGACAAUAGAUAUAAGAACUUUAGCUCGCGAAUGGAAAAUUAUCGACAGCAACUAGAAGAAACUUUGGGUAUCCAAGAAGAAGAAAGUGAAAAGAAAGAACUUUCCAUUGAUCGAAAUUCUGAUCCUAACUUGGAAGCUAAAGUAAAAGAAGCUGCUGCAAAAGAAUUGAAGGAAUUGAAUGAGGAGAAAAGGAGGUCUGCUAGAAGAAAAGAAUUUAUCAUGGCCGAAUUGUUACAAACGGAACGUACCUACGUCAAAGAUUUGGAAACUUGCAUAACUUGUUUCCUCGACGAAAUGAGAAAUUCCUCAGCAGUCACCGCUUCGCUUCAUUCCAAAGAAAACAUAAUUUUUGGCAAUAUGGAAGAAAUAUAUGAAUUUCAUAAUUCUAUUUUUUUAAAGGAACUCGAAAAAUAUGAAACGAUGCCUGAAGAUGUUGGGCAUUGUUUCGUAACAUGGGCUCAGAAAUUUGAUAUGUAUGUUACCUACUGUAAAAAUAAACCCGAGAGCAAUAGUCUGUUGGUGCAACAUGGAGGUGGGUAUUUUGAAGAACUACAGAAGAAACACAAAGUUGAACAUCCCAUCGCCGCUUAUUUAAUUAAACCGGUUCAGAGAAUCACCAAGUACCAGUUGCUGCUGAAAGAUUUACAGAGCUGCUGUGAAGAAGGUCAAGGAGAAAUUAAGGAUGGUUUGGAAGUAAUGCUCAAUGUUCCCAAAAAAGCAAACGACGCAAUGCACUUGUCCUUACUCGAAGGCUGUGAUAUAUCCUCGGACAAGUUAGGCGAAGUAGUUCUACAAGACGCUUUCAGCGUUUGGGAUCCAAAACAACUAAUUAGAAAAGGCAGAGACCGACAUAUUUUCCUUUUCGAAAUGUAUCUCUUAUUUACCAAAGAAGUUAAGGAUUCCGUUGGGAAAGUGAAGUACAUCUACAAAAACAAAUUAAUGACUUCUGAACUGGGAGUAACAGAACAUAUGGAAGGCGAUGAAUGCAAAUUUGCAGUUUGGACUGGUCGUGCCCCAAUUUCUGAUUAUCGCAUUGUACUUAGAGCUUCUUCACUUGAAACCAAACAAUUGUGGGUGAAGAAGUUAAGGGAAGUUAUACAAGAAACAUAUUUCAGCGGAGCAUUACCGCUUUCACUGCCCAAGAGCCCUGCAAAACUGAAACCUCAUAGCCAAAGAUCUAGUCGGGAUAUGGAAGAAUGCAAUUCUUUAGAUGAAAGCGUCGAAAAUUUAGAUAGGAAUUCUUUGACUUCCUUUGGCUCGGGUAAUACUACAGACUCCGAUAAGGCUGGAGUUCUGGAAAUGACAUGGGUUAUGAGCGACUUCACAGCUACCAAUCCUCUCGAAUUGAGCGUAACGAAAGGCCAACAAGUCGAAGUCGUAGAGGUAUGUGCUUCGAAACCAGACUUCUGUUUGGUUAGGAUGCCGACCAGAGGUACAGCAGAUCACGAAUCUGCUGUAAUACCCGAAGGAUUGGUACCUCUUGCUGUUUUGAAACAACCACCUCCGCAUAGAGGCUCUCCCUCUAGAAGAAUAAAUCCAUCAUCGGAGCAGGAUAUUGAGUCAACAGUACAAAAUGACACGUCUAGUGCAGUCAAUACAUCAUCACCUGUAAUUAAACGAAGAGGUUUUAGCGGACGGAAAUGGCUGCCACCUCCACUACGAAAACUGUCACAGGGUAAAGUGGAUAAAGCGCAAGCCAACACACCUCCACCCCUUAAAAAGACUGGUUCCGAUAAGAGAAUAAAGGUGCCAUCCGAAAUGGGCAAUAAGCCCUCAGUGUCAGAAGGUGAAGAGGAAGAAGAACGAUCCACACAUACCUUGAAGGGUGUUAAAUCUCUUGGUGCAGAAUUGGCGAACGGCAGUGGGGUAACUGAUGAAGCCGAUGAAGAAUUUGAACUACCACCGCCCAUGAAACCAAUUCAGGAACCAAUUUUGGUGACAUCACCUCCCCCUGGAGUUCCUGGUGUUCCCGAAAUCGAAGAGAAUCCUUGUAAAAGGGUCUCUAGCUUAACGUUAAAAUCACUUGAAGGUGCUACAUCUGCGGAUUUGGCCGAAAUUGAACAGAUAGUAAAGGAGAGAAUGGAACAGCAUUCCGAAAAUCAAGAACGUCAUUCCUUAAUGAGAGAUGCCAAAUCAGAAAAUGCCAUUUCGGACUACGGCGGAGAUCUUUCAGCUCAAGGGUUUUCUAAUGAAGCGACUGCAUCAGCAUUCAGCGGUGAUGAAAGUGACAAACCUUCUGAAGAUAAUAUAGAUGCAGCCAAAAAGACGGAAAUUCUCCUCAAAAAGAGAGAAUAUGUUUUAAAAGAAUUAACCGAUACAGAAGAAACAUACGUUAGAGAUUUGUCUCUUAUAGUUGAUGGUUACAUAGCUACUAUGAAAGAUCCUGAUUGUGAUAUACCUAUGCCGGAAGAUUUGAAGGAUGGUAAAGACAAAUUAGUGUUUGGAAACAUUGAGGUUAUCUAUGAUUGGCAUAAAAAUUUCUUCAUUAAAUCAUUAAAAAAGGCCGUAGAGAAUCCUAUUGAACUAGCUUCGCUUUUCAAACGUUAUGAACGCAAAUUGCAAAUGUACGUUAUCUAUUGUAAGAAUAAACAUGUAUCCGAAUAUAUUGUUUCCGAAUAUCUAGAAACUUAUUUUGAAGAACUACGGGUAAAAUUAGGACACAAAUUACAAUUAUGCGAUCUGUUAAUAAAACCAGUUCAAAGAAUCAUGAAGUAUCAAUUGAUGCUUAAAGACAUUUUAAAAUACACGGAGAGAGCUGGAAUUACAGCGGAAAUUGAACCGCUCAGAGCGGCAUAUAACAUUAUGGUGAUUGUACCAAAGACUGCUAAUGAUAUGAUGGAUGUUGGAAGAUUACAAGGCUUUGAGGGUAAAAUUACCGCACAAGGAACACUUCUUCUUCACGGAAUGUUAACUGUAUCCGAUUUACCGGGAUCAAAUCAGAUCGUCGGGAAAAAUAAGGACCUACACGUAUUUUUCUUUGAACAAAGUAUUAUAUUUUCAGAAGUCGUGGGAAAAAAGACUCAGUUCACUAGUCCUCAAUAUAUUUAUAAAGCUCAUAUACAAGUUAAUAAAAUGUCCCUAGAAACCAACGACGACUGUUUCAUAUUGGAAUCAACAGAUCCUUCUCGUAGUUUAGGAUUCGUAAUACAAGCUGCUACGCCUGAAUUACAACAACAAUGGAUGAUUACAAUACACGAUACCCUCCAAAAACAGAGGGACUUCCUCAAAGCUAUCCAAAGUCCCAUAGCUUAUCAAAAAGAGUUGACUACUAAAGAAGCUUCCUUAUCCGAUUUAUCAGUAUGGGAAGUGGCACAUCUGAGAAGAGCCCUUCCGCAAGGGUCACCUUCUGAACCUAGCAAAAUGCAUCGCAAAAAUCAUUACGUACAUAAAGCGAACACUAUCGGUAUUCCUUCCGAAGAUGAUUUGAAUGAUAGCAAAAACAAUAAUCCACGACCAAGACUGAACUUUUUCGAAGGAUUUAAGAAUACUUUGAGAAACAAACAUAAAAGUGACACUGUAGUAUUAGAAGCCGCGAAAGAAAAUAGUGAGAAAGGUGAUAUGCACAGGAGGUGGUCCGAAGCCAAUCAACACACGGUUUCGUAAAUAAAGAGCUUCAAAUACUACCAACUAACCAUACAAGAUGGCUGUGAUAUGUUAUAUUAAGAUAAAAUACAUGUAAAACUAUUUAUUGCCGUUAGUUUUAACUAUAUUAACAAGUUGAUAUGGAACUCUUUGGGAUUGCCAGUCUACACAACUUUCUAUUUUAAAAAUGGGCGUGUUCAGUUAUACAUAACUGCCAAGUAUCAAAUUUUUAUUCCGAUUAUGAGAAAAAUCGACUUGGAAAAAGUCAAGUUUUGAUACUUGGACAACUUGUGUACCUACAUAUAUUGAUAUUGAGCAAGUCGAUGGUAUAACUGCAGUUUUUAAUAAAUUAACAAAUAUUGUGAAAUUCUGGAAUAUCGAUUAUUAGCAAAUCAUUUCUUUUGGAGAAAACAAUCGAUAUGGUUUAUUUACCUGAAGUACCUGCAAAAGAUUUAAAUUUAACAAAUGCUUGAAUGUGAAUGGAAAGCAAGAAAGUCAACGAAAGUUAUGAUCUGUUGAAAGAAUUAUAUUCCAACCUGCCAUCCAUAUCACAAGGUACUGUAUAGAAAUGUAGAGAAAAAAAUAAACAAAAAUGAGCAUGUAAAAGAAACUUAUCAGCAAACUACCGUUAAUAAAUGCCUCGCCCUAAUUAAAACUAGUCAGUCAUCGGUAGUUUAAGAACGUGAAAUGCAUCAUUACAAGUUGCUAAUAAUGUAGAAGUAAUUACAAGAUGAUUCCAAUUGAGGAACAACAAGCAACAAUUAAUAGUUAAGAAUUCGUACUCAUAUUUAAUGGAGUAUAAUAUUUGGAAUUCUUGCAAAAAUAGUGUCACAAUUAAUUAAUUAAUUAAUUAAUUGGUUUCUUAACUUUGUACAUGUUCAUGCACCGAAUAGAGUCAAAACAUCCAAUUCUUCAGAAUUAUUUACAUACAUGAAAAGCAAAUAGUCAAUGGACAACAUUAUGAGUUUUUAAUUACUUAUUAUAAUAGUUUUGUUAUUGCUCGUUUCGUAACUUGGUUUCUUUUUUACUUUGUAAUUGGUAUAGAAAAGAAAUUGAUAUUUGGCAUGUAUUUAAAAACUAUUAGAUAGCUUAUAGAAAUAGCCAUUAACGUGACAGUAUUCCGAUUUAACAGAAUCAAAAAUGAAGGCAAAUCUUUGAAGGGACAUCUUAUAUACAUUAGUAUUGCAUGUAAAAUAUCGACAUUGGAAAUAAUCAUCGACGAGCUGAAAGAUAAAAAUUCAUGAAACCACAAUACCACUUAAGCGCUUUACAAGGAUAUUUUCUUAAUGCUAAAAAAAUUAUCUUACGAUCUGUACGGGACAAGAACGGCUUUCAGAUUUAUCCCUGUUGUCUAUAGAGACCAAACACUAUAAUAUAUAGUCUUCUGCUAUAGAGAAAUAGAAAUUAAUAAAUUUGCCGAAAAGGGGGAAACGAGUGUUUGUUUAUACCACUCGACCACUGAAGCGAAGAAAGCUUAUAUAAAGCAUGAGCGUUACAAAGAUAUUUUCUAAAUGCUAAAAAAAUUAUCUAAGGACCUGUACGGCAGGUUCAGAUUUGUUCCUGUUAUCUAUAGAGACCUAGGCGCAUUUAUUGCAAGUGAUAAGUAAUACUCAUAAAUAUUUUGAUAUUAUAUAAUAUCAAUGCUUUUGUUUCUUCAUAAAAAAUGUUGGGUUUCUCUGCAGUUAGGUUGAAGUGAAUCCAACAAAUUUUGAUUCAGGGUUCAUCUAGCGUCAGCUAUGUCGAAGAUUUAAAAAAAUGUAUUUGAACUAUUGAAUUUAUUUCCAAUUAGACUUUUUUAGUAUAUUUAAAUGUAGAAGUUCUAUUAUCUUGAGAAUGCUUUUGGUUUUUUGUGCUAUGGUUUAGGUGUGAUAUUAGUUGUACUGUGAGUAUUUGCAUUGAUAUUUAAUAAAACUUACCGUUGUGCUAAAGUAAAAUACAAAAAUAUUUCUAGUUCACUUGUUGGUUUGGUAGAAAAAGGAUAAGUAUUUUAUGCCAUUAUUACAGAUUUCCGUUAAUAUCUAUAUCUAAUUGCUGUUCUAGAUUGCUUACACUAGCACUUAUAAACCAUACAGGGGUUAUAGAACUGAUUCAUUUUAUUGUAUAGCGUAAGCUUUGAGUAGAAAUGUGUUUUCAAAUUGAUGCCUUUUGUAUUUACUAUAACGGCAAUAAACAAAUCAUAGUUUCCUAAUGUCGAUUGAUGUGAAAUUUUUCCAAUCACUCGAUUAAAGUUGAAAAACACAUCUAAAAAGCCUGGAAAUUUUAAUUGAACCUAAUAUUAUGUAUACUGAGAUACAAAAUAGAAUUACUAAACUGAUAAUUGGAUUGGAACCUUUGAUAGGAAACUAAGAGUCAUAUGUCCAAAACAUAUAUAUUGAUAAAUCAUCUACAAAAGAUGAUAUUUGUACAUACAUUUCAACGGAGCGUUAAGACAUUGUGAAUCUUUAAGAUGGAAAUUAUUUUAUUUAGCUGAAGUAUAAACUUCCAGAAUUAAAUAGAAUUCAUAGCCAAAGUAGCAUUUCAUAGAUUAAGCUUCCAGCUGGUACAGGAUGUUGCUAUUAGAAUCAUUAUUAUAGAUACAGAUACGAGGUUUAGAAAUAACAGUGACAUAAUAUGCUUAUAGUACUUACUGCACUCAGUAUAAUAUAAAACGUUUCAACGUGGACCACCUAUAUAGAGAUAUAAUAAUGCCUACUAAUUUUUUCAUCUUCGUAGUUGCCUAUGGAAUUCAGAGUGGAGUGCCUAUUGAAUUCAUAAAAAGAGAUUUGUUAAUAAUAUAUCUCUAAGUUCAUCAUCUAACCAAUUUUAUUGUACCAGUUUUCGAUAUUAUCCCCAACUUCAAAAAUUUUCACAGAAAUUAACCUUUUUUCAAUUUAUUUCAGUGGAAAACUUAUAACAAUUAGAUAGUUACUGGUUUUAUAACAAUUUCGAAUGUUUCGUACCUAAUUGUUAUUAAAGAAUUACCAUAACUAUGAGGUAUUUACAAAAAGGGCAUAUUCUAUAUAUUUGUAUAUUUAGAGAACAAAAGUUGGUGUUAUAAAACUAUUAGUAUGGCAUUAUUGAGAUUACUGAUAUAUUUCUGGUGAACCAACCCAUUAAAAUUGUAUAAAGUAAUGUUUUUUCCAAAAUUUUCAGUAUAAAGUACAAAUUUUUCUAUUUAAUAUGAAACAGAAUUUAAAUAUGGCUACAAACAAGAAGUUUUUGGAGUAUUUAUUUAAUUAUAAUCUACAAGUGCGCUUUAAUGGAAGUACUUUUCAUAGAUUCGCAACACGUUCGCUACUAUCUAUCAAAGUUUUACAUAAAUCAGACUGAGAUAUGACUUUUAAUACUUAGUUAAAAAAACUGUAGUUUAGUAAAUAUAUAGAAAACAGAAUUUCGAGUGUUUCAUGUAAAAAACGAUUUUAAAAACAAAGUCUCAUAAAUAUCCUUAAAGUGCUUCGUCUCAUGGAAUGAUUUGCAUAUGGUUCUCUUCUUUUAAAACUUUUCAAAUGAACACGGAUGAUAUUGAACGUCCAGGACAGUAAGCAUAUAAGAUUAUUUACGUAGUAAGCAUUUUAUCAGAACGGGUAUGCAAUAUUUUACAUGAAUAAUCUAUCUGCAAAGUGGAUGCAAUGAUUACUUGAUGCUGAUCAAAAGCUCUUUCGCAUGAAAAAUGUAACCCAAUGUUUCCAUAUUCUCAAACG